Molecule: non-coding RNA, 187 nt
Filed under: Moorella sp. (in: firmicutes)
Lineage: Bacteria; Bacillati; Bacillota; Clostridia; Neomoorellales; Neomoorellaceae
Source: RNAcentral
UAUCUUGAAGAGGGAGCGAGUUAAGCCGCCCGAGGGCGGCGUGGGGAAGUCAGUGCAAUUCUGACGCGGUCCCGCCACUGUGACAGGGAGCGAGCCCACAAAAUACAAGCCACUGGGCGUCAGCCUGGGAAGGCGUGGGCAAGCGAGGAACUGGAGCCAGGAGACCCGCUCGUUCCCCGUGGUGCCA